Molecule: non-coding RNA, 26 nt
Filed under: Arabidopsis thaliana (thale cress)
Lineage: Eukaryota; Viridiplantae; Streptophyta; Magnoliopsida; Brassicales; Brassicaceae
Also listed under: 2 other names
Source: RNAcentral
AAUAUUCAAAUGAGAACUUUGAAGGC